Molecule: transfer RNA, 65 nt
Filed under: Sipunculus nudus (marine worm)
Lineage: Eukaryota; Metazoa; Annelida; Sipuncula; Golfingiida; Sipunculidae
Description: tRNA-Arg
Source: RNAcentral
CAAGCGCAUAACGGAUUGCACCAUGGUUUCGGCCCAUGUUCUGGAGACCCUCCACCCUCCCUUGC